Molecule: RNA transcript, 4199 nt
Organism: Lolium perenne
Lineage: Eukaryota; Viridiplantae; Streptophyta; Magnoliopsida; Poales; Poaceae
Gene name: protein FAR1-RELATED SEQUENCE 5
Source: RefSeq, a predicted model, not a curated record
UGGUACGUAUUCUUUGAGGGAAGGCGGCUUUCCUUCUCGCAGAAUCCGCAUCGCAAAGCUUCCCCCUCCCGUCGCCGCGCCGGCGAUGAGCUCCCCCUCCGUUCCCGGCCACCUUCCAGCUCCCACUCCUCCACCAGAUCCUCUCCCCCCUGCCUCAGUAUCAGGCUCAAGCUCAGCCACUCACAAGGCCUCCGCGCCAAAACCUAAAUCCCCAAUCACCACCGCGCCAUCACCAUCACCACCAAAACCAAAACCAAAACCAAAACCAAAGCCCCCCUCCAGAAAUGCCGCCGCCAUUCCGGUUACGGCGGCUACCGUCUCCCGUAGCUCCCCUGCGGCGACCAGCAGCGCCCCGGAGGACUACACGCCGCGGAUGGACAUGGAGUUCGAUUCGGAGCAGCAGGCGUACGAGUUCUACCGCCACUACGCCUUCAAGGUCGGCUUCAACGUCCGGAAGCGCUACACCAACAAGAGCAGGAAGACCGGCGAGGUCACCUCCUGCAAGCUAGCCUGCUCCCGCGAGGGACACAAGCAGCACUCCAGCGCCGCCACCAAGCCCCACAACGGCGCCGCCAUUUUCUUGACUGAAUCCCGCACCGGCUGCAACGCCCACCUCACCAUCCGCCGCAACAAUCCCGGCGAAAAGUUCCAGGUCAACGCUUUCCAGCCGCGCCACAACCACCCGCUCUUCGCCCCGCCCCGCGGCGUGCCCAGUCCCUUCCAGUUCCAUGAUGCCCCUGUUCCACCACCACCUGAUUUUCCCAACGGUGAUGCCGGCGCGUGUGCCGUCGGUGAAGGGCCCCUGCGGACUAGGCGGCAGUGGGAGAUGAAGUACGGAGAGGCCGCCGCGCUGCUGAACCACCUCCAGCAGCAGUCGCUGGCCGACCCGGCGUUCCACCAUGCCGUGCAGCUGGAUGCCGAGGACAAAGUAGCGAAUGUUUUCUGGGUUGACGCGAGGAUGGUCAUCGACUAUGGCCACUUCGGCGAUGUCGUCGCCUUCGACGUCGUUUCUAGGAACAGCAUCAGCCUCCGUCAUCUCGCCUCGUUCGUCGGCUGCAACAAUUUCGGCGAGCCUGUGGUCUUUGGACUGGCUCUCAUGUACGACGAGACCUGCGAGUCGUUCCAGUGGCUUUUCCAGAGGUUCCUUCACGCAAUGUCUCGACAAGCGCCAAGGACUUUCUUCUCGCAUCAGGACGCUGUCAUAGCAAAGGCCCUGUCAGUAGUGAUGCCUAGUACGAGCCAUGUUAUAUGCACGUCGCACAUUAAGCACGGCGCAACCUGGAAUGUUAAUCAUCUUGCUAAGGGUCAGUGCGAUUUCAUCAACGAGUUUAAGGCGUGCAUCAGCGAGUAUGAUGAGGAGGCGGAGUUUCUGGCAGCUUGGGAUGCUAUGAUCAGUAAGUAUGACCUUCGUGGUAACGUAUGGUUGCAGAAGUUAUUUGAAGAGAAACAGAAGUGGGCUAGGCCCUAUGCAAAAGGGAUCUUCACAGCUGGGAUGAAAGGCACACAAUUGAACGAGCGCCUGAAUUCUGACGUGCGGGAUCAUUUGAAAGCCGAGGUGGAUAUUGUUCUGUUCUUGAAGCAUCUUCAGAAGGUGAUCAACGACAGGCGGUACAAAGAACUGGAGGUUGAGUACAACUCGAGGUUGAAGUUGCCUUACUUCAAAAUUAGAGCUCCUGUUCUGACACAAGCUUCCGAGGUCUAUACCAGUGUGAUAUUUCAGUUUCUACAAGAAGAAUUUGAGGAGUUCCAGUCAGCUUACAUUGUGAACCGUGAUGAAAGUGGCCCGUGCCGCGAGUAUGUUGUCUCGAUUGUUGAAAAAGAGGAACAGUAUACAGUUUAUGGGAACUCCACGGAGCAGACUGUUUCAUGCUCAUGUAGGAAGUUUGAGACAAUCGGAUUCUUGUGUAGCCAUGCUCUAAAAAUUCUAGAUGCUAUGGAUAUAAAGUAUAUACCGGAUAGAUACAUCAUGAAGCGGUGGACCAAAUACGCAAGGUGUUUGAACUCACCAGAGGUUCUAGGGCAAGAAGUUCAAGUAGAGAAAUCACUGGAAAUUUCUAAUCGCUAUCAGUACAUGUGCCCGAAGUAUGUUAGGCUUGUUUCCCGGGCAUCAGAAUGCGAGGAAUCCUGUAGAGUGCUAGACCAGUUUUGGGGAGAACUUAGUGAUAAAGUUGAAGAAAUCCUACAGAAACAAACCAGCAUUGGCACAUCUGUGAGACAGCCUGAUGUUCAGAGUCUUAAGAUAGCCUUAUCUUCUAUCACAAAAGGCGCUGAAUCAGAAAAUGUCCUGGACAAAUCAAGCAGCACAGCAGCAAAAGUAUUAAAGAGGAAAGACCAGAAAAGUAAAAAUCAUCCGAGAAAUUGCAUUGAAAAAGGUCUGAGGAAGAAGCAGAAAGUGCACUCAGAAGAACCCACAGUGCAGUAUGCUUUUUUAGAUGCUUCUGCACAAUCUGGAAAUGCUAUGUUUCAGGACUUGGAGGCUCCUCCUAACAUGUCCCAAAUGGGUAGCCAAACUCCAUCUUAUAAAGCUUACAUGGGGACUGGCCUUUCAAGUCCUAUGGGGACAAUCAACUAUGAAGAGAUGCACUCUGGCGCAAGUCCAGCGUUCUCUCUGUUGUUGCCUUCUCAGGAACUAGACUUUGUCGACUGUCACACUUCUCAGGUUUCAAGUGACAGCCAGCACAACCAGGGGUUGUAGAAAUCAGUGUCUACUUGAAGACUCUUGUGCUUCUCUCUCUGGAGCACGAUCAAUGGGAUAUGUGGGCUCUUUGUGGUAAACUGAAUGAUUCUCAUGGCUUACGAUGUCUACACGUCAUCAUCAACUCUAUAUGACAAUGAUAAGCUGCACAGCAAGGAAAUAAACAGGACCAGAAGGAGUGAAGCACCAACAAGAAAUAGUUUUCUAGCUUAUAAGCUUCUACACCGUAGGAAGAGCAAAAUAACCAAGUAUUUCUUUGAGCUAAGCUGAUCCUUCAAUCUGCGGGAAAGAAGGAAGAGUUUAGAAGAGCCCUAGGAAUGACAUGGUCAAACAGCCUUAGCUAAGUAGCUAAGCAUCUGCGCCAUUCAGUACUUGGAAUAUAUAGAUGCAGCUUUCGGUGGAGUUUGACGGCCUUGGCCUGCAUUAUUUGAAGAUGUUGAAUGAUGCUGAUGCGCUGCAAUCUAAGUGGCUAUGGGAGGCACACACUUCUGACUCGCUACCAUGGGCACAAGUGGGCUUGGCAGUUUCCAUUGAAGCAAGAGUGAUCUUCAUGCAUGGCCUGGAUCUUGAUUGAGCUUAAGGAUGGCAAGUCGACUCUGUUUGGCAGGGGCCGUGGAUAGAUGGGCAGAGAGUAAAACAAAUUGCACCUGAUCUGUGUGCUUUUGUCAAACCAGCAGCGCGGCGGGAGAGAACGGUGAUGGACGGAGGAUCUUUUGGAGUAUCUCUCUGUCCCUGCUGUCUUGCAAUUCCUGACUCUAUGGAGAGCAAUUGAAGCCACCCCUCCACUCGAACAGGGAUGUGACAAGUGGAUUUGGAAAUGGACUGCGUCCGGCUGCCAUUCUUGCAGUUCUGCAUACAAAAUCGCCUUUGAAGGAAGACUGUGGCUGGUCAUCUCUGGUUUGGAAACCAUGGGUUCGUCUGAAAUUCAAGUUCUUUGCUUAGUUUGCACGAAGAAAUCACUGCUGGACAUCAGAUUGUUUAGCGCGGCAUGGCCUCCCGCACCAACCAGCCUGUCCUCUUUGCGCCCAAGCCAUGGAGGAUAUUGAACACCUACUGAUUCAGUGCCCCUUCGCGCGAGAAGUUUGGUUCUACAUGCUGGGUUGGAUCGGGUGUCAACACUUCACGCCGGUGGUGAGUGACAGCCUUCUUGAGUGGUGGUCCAAUUGCCAACAGAGAUUCCCGCGAACCUCUGCUCAGGCUACAACUCUGUGUUACUCUGCACGUUGCGCUUAAUUUGGUUGGAACGAAAUAGCAGUGUGUUUGGCUUGUAAAUGAAAAGAUAAAGGUUAUGUGUAGGGACUGGCAACUUGUAGGUGGAGGUGGGUUAGUAAGAGUUAUUCCUGAAGAGUGCUAGGGGUGGAGUUCAGCCGGUACCGCUUGUGGCGCCGAUGAUUUGUGAAACAACUCUCUUCUACCUUUAUAUAUAGACACGCAGACCUCCUGAGAGUUCUGGGAAGAAAAAAUAGAUGUAUGUUUUCUUUUGUUGUUAAGAUGUGCCAUUGGA